This is a long non-coding RNA of Helianthus annuus (common sunflower), 615 nucleotides long. RefSeq lists it as uncharacterized. The record is from RefSeq and is a predicted model, not a curated record. NCBI's taxonomy places the organism in Eukaryota, Viridiplantae, Streptophyta, Magnoliopsida, Asterales, Asteraceae. The transcript is spliced from 4 exons.
ACACAUGGCAAUUUAUUUAGGCUAUAAAUGACACAUGUCAUUAGUAUGGUUCUGUUCCCAUUCCCAAUCAUCAAUCCAUUCUAAGAAAAUGCGGAUCCGAUUUACCAAUUUCGGGUCAAAUAGGCGUUGGUAUAAAAGCCUUAUAACCCGGACAACAAUCACUUUUCAUAUCACAAACUAGGGUUUCACAAAAUUUGCUCUGGGCGUUCUUCUCUGCCGACCAUCAAACCUCUUCAAAUUAAUUCUCAAAUCAAGGGUUUCUCCAUCAUCGAUCAUUCAUCUGUCUUGAUAAUCAAAUGUUUCAUUACCAUGGUUCAUAUCGCAAUUCGCAAGCAAGAAGAUGUUCAUUGUUCCAGAUUUGUUUAUGUAUUUCAUGAUGAUGAUGAAGGUUGAUGAUUUGAUUUGUAUUCUGUUGCCUCUGGCAAGCUGAAACAGGCUGGUGAACUAAAGAGGGAGGAUUUGAAAGGCUGGUGACAAGAUAAGGUUACAUGCCACCCGAGUCACUCAGACUUUUACCGGCAGUUACUCACUACGCUCAGGUUACACUGUCGGCGGUUUGGCUGGCGAUUCCUGGCAAGUAGGGGUUUCGGUGUGGGUUUGCGGAUGAAAAGUGAA